Phacochoerus africanus (Common warthog) is the source of this 2969-nucleotide long non-coding RNA. RefSeq lists it as uncharacterized. The transcript has 7 exons. NCBI's taxonomy places the organism in Eukaryota, Metazoa, Chordata, Mammalia, Artiodactyla, Suidae. The record is from RefSeq and is a predicted model, not a curated record.
UUCCUCUGUAUAUGGCUCCAGGGUCGAAGGAACUAUUCGCUCAGCAUCAGGGCCUGCUGCUGGCUGACAGCCGUCCACUUUCGUCCCUCUCUGGAACUCUGUCCUCUCUGAAGAUGGCAUCUUCACUCAAGGACUGCCUCCUUCUGGAGCACAGCCUCUUCCAAUGACAGGCCAGUGGAAGAUGAUACAGUGUGAUUUUGUAGCUCCUCCCAUCGGGGAAUUAAAUUGACUUUCUAAGCCCUGGAAUAAGGCUGGCCUUGGGGCUUGCUCGGACCACCAAAAGAGCAACAAGGAUGGUGUGCUGAUCCCAAGCCAAGGCCUCAAGAGUCCUUGAACACAAGAGGCCCUGAGGACUUCUGCCUGCCUUCUUAGAACCCUGCUGUAGUCCACUGUCAUGAGAAAAGCCCGAGUCAGCCUACCAGACCCUCAGACACCACGUACCGAGAGCGCACCGUUCAUGGACUGGUCACCGUCCGGCGAUGUCAUCUGAAAUCAUGGACAGAUGGCAACUAUAAAACCGCAAAUAUCCGAGCCAGAGUUUCCUUAUGUUGGAGCUUCACACCCAAAGAGAUAAACUUGGGACUAUGUCUAAUCACCUGGAUUCUUCACUCGCCUGACAAGGUGGACGAAAGGAAAGAAACACCAGGAAGAGGCAGAGAGAGAUGGCAGGUCCACCUUCAACAAAUUUCAUAUGGUUUAACCAGUUCCGGUUGCCUGUGACUUGUACUGGGAGUUUCCUGAAAGAGGCACCAAUGCAGAUCGGACGCUAGAAACUUUCCUGCAUGAUCUCCAGCUGCUGAGAGCAGGAACACGUAAGGAAACCAUGAUCAUUCCGUCUUCACAGGAUGGCAGCUGUGCAGGAAAAACAAGCCACCUCUGCAGCUGAUGACUAACCCCCCUCUCUUUGCUGGUGACGAUGAUGGAGAACCCUGUCCUCACGCCCAGCUCUCGCCAUGACCUCACGCGCUCCUCGCGGACAUUUCCACUCGCCCCCCUGGGGCCGUGCUCCGGGCGUGGAGCUCUGCUUUCUCUGGCCCCACGCACCCCUGGACGCCAUCUGUCUAAACACGGGAUCCCUCGGCCCACAGCCCCCGUUGCUCAUGAUCUGCCCCUUCCUGCGUCUGCGGCUUGGGGCUUGACACACACCAGGGAAACGGCUCAGGCUCUACCUGGGUUCUGAAAAGCAUUUACCAUGGAAAAUGCGAUGCUUCCUAACAAGCAGCCUUUUCAUCUUCUUGGAGGAGGCUUGCCUUUCAUCCUUUUCUGCUCUCGGAGCACUAGGCGAAGACACAGAGAAAGAAACAUGAUGUGGAAGCAGGAAUUCAAUAAUAGGGAGGGAGGGAGGUGUAAGUCUGCCUUUAGCUUUUAAAAAGUGCUUAUGGAAAGUACCGGCACUAGGAGAUGGUGGGCAGGGGUGCAGUUCCGUCCUUCUCUGUCCCCUUGAAGGUUGUCAUAGCCCAGAGCCAGAGAGUCACCACCAGUGGGCUAUCUGGGGACAUAUUUUUAACACUGUAAACUUGUCUUCACACCUAACAGCAAAAAUUUUCAGAAACACUGAUUCAUUCCCAUUUAGGUAGAUUUAGGCUUAGACACAGAGCAGUGGUCUCCAGCCAUCUCAACAGAUGAACUGAAAAGCAGGCAGUGAAAGCCCGGAGCCCCUGCCCUUCCUGUCCACCCCACCUCCAUGCUAACAGGACACGAAACCUGGACAUGCGUCCGGAAGGUUAGGAGUGUGGGUGAGGGAUGCCGACUGGAGGAGAGAGAAUGGAGUGCCUUCCAGGCAAACUCCCUUCUCAGAAAUUUGGCUGACUCCUUCGCCCUUUUUUAUUGAUUUAUUUUUUUCAUGUACAUUUAUUGCAUCCCCUACUAAGGGCAAGUACAGGGCAAAGCACUGAUUACUAAAAUAACAGUCUUAAAAGUAGGUGUAGACAUGCUUGUUUCUUGAGUCCCUAAUAGAUAUAGCAAGUAAAUACAUAUGUGUCACUUAUUCAACCGUGUGAUAAAGGUUUUAUCAGUCUCACCUUUUUAUUACCCCAGUGAUAAAACAGAGAAUUGGGGAGGUCACAGAGCCCAACCUGUGUCUCUAGCUUAAAAGGUGGCCCAGAGGGAUUUGAAUCCAGCCCCAUCCUUCUACCACAUUGCCUUAAGCCUUGCAACUAAGUGAAAGAAACAAACAUAAAAACAAAGUCACCUCCAAAGUGAUUAAUGCCACCGAGCAGGUGUAGGUGAUGCUGCAGGCAGGGGCCCAUGGUGGAGAGAGACAUUCUGUUUAAGGACUUCUAACCCUCACCUGGUCCUUAGGGCGAGUGAAAUGUGGAUGAUCCCUAACACAGGAACCAGAAGUAUUGUCUUCUGACUUCUCACACCUGCCCAGGUUAAGGAUCCGUGACAUGGUUUCAGUUGGAGACAACAUCAGCCCAGAUAUCACUGUGACUGGAUGGCUCCUGUAAGGACGGGAAAGGAAUGCCCAUUCAGGAAGCUCAUCUGGACAGAAAAGCAACGGUUACUCAAACAGAAAUCCAGUCUGAAGAACCAUCAGUAUCACCUUUACCAAGGCCAUGGGAGAAGCAGAAUUUCCUUUUGAAACUUAAUAUACGUGAUCAACAUACACAUUAUGCUUUAAAGAACUGAAUUAUAGGAAUGAAUUUUCUUGGCAGCCUUCCUUUUUUAAAAAAUGCAUCAACAUAAUGAGAAAAGGGACUAACACAAAUAAAUAAAUGGGUUAAAAAUCAUUUUACUAUGGUAACAAUUAUCAUAAUAAAAUUCUUAACUCAGGAAGGGCUUCUGAUCACUUUGUUUUUUUUUCCAGUAUGUGAAGGAAAAUGAUAGUAGAGCAUGUGUGUCUCUGGGGACUAAGGUUGGACCUUAUGCUGAGCAGAGAACUGGAAGAAAAAAAAAAAAAAAAAAACCAGCAGUGUAUUUCCAUGAAACAGGAAGCACAAUAAACACAUACAUAUUGCAAAAUGAAA